GAUGAACGCUAGCUACAGGCUUAACACAUGCAAGUCGAGCGGGGACAUUGCGACAGAAUUGAAGUUUUCGGAUGGAUAGGAAGAUGUAAUGUUCUAGCGGCGGACGGGUGAGUAACGCGUGAGCAACCUGUCCCUUACAGGGGGAUAACACAGCGAAAGUUGUACUAAUACCGCAUAAGACCACAGGAUGACAUCGUCCAGGGGUCAAAGGAGCAAUCCGGUAAGGGGUGGGCUCGCGUCCGAUUAGAUAGUUGGUGAGGUAACGGCCCACCAAGUCGACGAUCGGUAGCCGACCUGAGAGGGUGAUCGGCCACAUUGGGACUGAGACACGGCCCAAACUCC
RNAcentral lists this ribosomal RNA (342 nucleotides) under uncultured Coriobacteriales bacterium. RNAcentral's name for it is "bacterial SSU rRNA". It matches the Rfam family "Bacterial small subunit ribosomal RNA", at positions 28 to 339 of the family's 1533-position model. The record is from RNAcentral. Lineage: Bacteria; Bacillati; Actinomycetota; Coriobacteriia; Coriobacteriales.